CCCUGUACACACGGAUAACAUACCGAAAGGUAUGCUCUUACGAGAUAAUAUGCUUUUAUCGCAUGGUAGAAGUAUCAAAGUUUUUGCGGUACAGGAUGGACCCGCGUCUGAUUAGCUAGUUGGUAAGGUAACGGCUUACCAAGGCGACGAUCAGUAGCCGACCUGAGAGGGUGAUCGGCCACAUUGGAACUGAGACACGGUCCAAACUCCUACGGGAGGCAGCAGUGGGGAAUAUUGCACAAUGGGCGAAAGCCUGAUGCAGCAACGCCGCGUGAGCGAUGAAGGCCUUCGGGUCGUAAAGCUCUGUCCUCAAGGAAGAUAAUGACGGUACUUGAGGAGGAAGCCCCGGCUAACUACGUGCCAGCAGCCGCGGUAAUACGUAGGGGGCUAGCGUUAUCCGGAAUUACUGGGCGUAAAGGGUGCGUAGGUGGUUUCUUAAGUCAGAGGUGAAAGGCUACGGCUCAACCGUAGUAAGCCUUUGAAACUGGGAAACUUGAGUGCAGGAGAGGAGAGUGGAAUUCCUAGUGUAGCGGUGAAAUGCGUAGAUAUUAGGAGGAACACCAGUUGCGAAGGCGGCUCUCUGGACUGUAACUGACACUGAGGCACGAAAGCGUGGGGAGCAAACAGGAUUAGAUACCCUGGUAGUCCACGCCGUAAACGAUGAGUACUAGCUGUCGGAGGUUACCCCCUUCGGUGGCGCAGCUAACGCAUUAAGUACUCCG
Molecule: ribosomal RNA, 722 nt
Filed under: uncultured bacterium
Lineage: Bacteria
Description: bacterial SSU rRNA
Rfam family: Bacterial small subunit ribosomal RNA
Source: RNAcentral